GACGAACGCUGGCGGCGUGCUUAACACAUGCAAGUCGAACGGAAAGGCCCUGCUUUUGUGGGGUGCUCGAGUGGCGAACGGGUGAGUAACACGUGAGUAACCUGCCCUUGACUUUGGGGUAACUUCAGGAAACUGGGGCUAAUACCGGAUAGGAGCUCCUGCUGCAUGGUGGGGGUUGGAAAGUUUCGGCGGUUGGGGAUGGACUCGCGGCUUAUCAGCUUGUUGGUGGGGUAGUGGCUUACCAAGGCUUUGACGGGUAGCCGGCCUGAGAGGGUGACCGGCCACAUGGGGAAUGAGAUACGGCCCAGACCCCUACGGGAGGCAGGAGUGGGGAAAAUUGAAAAAGGGGGGGAAGCCUGAGGCAGCAACGCCGGGGGGGGGAUGAGGGCCUUGGGGUUGUAAACCGCUUUCGCCGGGGACGAAGGGGGAGGGAGGGUAAUGGGUAAAAAAGCAACGGCAAACUACGU
This 467-nucleotide ribosomal RNA is filed under the name uncultured bacterium. RNAcentral's name for it is "partial 16S ribosomal RNA". It matches the Rfam family "Bacterial small subunit ribosomal RNA", at positions 28 to 506 of the family's 1533-position model. The record is from RNAcentral.